UUCCUAUGCAUAUACUUCUUUGAGAAUUGAAUCUAAAGAGGCAUACGGCAUGGGAAAA
This 58-nucleotide microRNA precursor is filed under the name Python bivittatus (Burmese python). RNAcentral describes it as "Pbv-Mir-202_pre stem-loop". It matches the Rfam family "mir-202 microRNA precursor family", at positions 11 to 68 of the family's 76-position model. Lineage: Eukaryota; Metazoa; Chordata; Lepidosauria; Squamata; Pythonidae. The record is from RNAcentral.